RNAcentral lists this ribosomal RNA (886 nucleotides) under uncultured Leptotrichia sp. RNAcentral's name for it is "bacterial SSU rRNA". It matches the Rfam family "Bacterial small subunit ribosomal RNA", at positions 9 to 911 of the family's 1533-position model. Lineage: Bacteria; Fusobacteriati; Fusobacteriota; Fusobacteriia; Fusobacteriales; Leptotrichiaceae. The record is from RNAcentral.
GAGUUUGACCCUGGCUCAGAAUGAACGCUGACAGAAUGCUUAACACAUGCAAGUCGAUGGGGAAGGCUGAGCUUGCUUAGCUGGUAACCAUGGCGGACGGGUGAGUAACGCGUAAGGAACUUACCUGCGGGACUGGGAUAACGGAGGGAAACUUCUGACAAGACCGGAUAAAGCUACUGUGCAGCAUUGUAUGGUAAUGAAAGGAGACGCCUGCGGAGAGCCUUGCGUCCUAUUAGCUAGUUGGGGGGGUAACGGCCCACCAAGGCGAAGAUAGGUAGCCGGCCUGAGAGGGUGGACGGCCACAAGGGGACUGAGAUACGGCCCUUACUCCUACGGGAGGCAGCAGUGGGGAAUAUUGGACAAUGGGGGCAACCCUGAUCCAGCAAUUCUGUGUGCACGAAGACGGUUUUCGGAUUGUAAAGUGCUUUCAGCAGGGAAGAAGUAAGUGACGGUACCUGCAGAAGAAGCGACGGCUAAAUACGUGCCAGCAGCCGCGGUAAUACGUAUGUCGCGAGCGUUAUCCGGAAUUAUUGGGCAUAAAGGGCAUCUAGGCGGCCUGACAAGUCAGGGGUGAAAACCUGCGGCUCAACCGCAGGCCUGCCUUUGAAACUGACAGGCUGGAGUACCGGAGAGGUGGACGGAACUGCACGAGUAGAGGUGAAAUUCGUAGAUAUGUGCAGGAAUGCCGAUGAUGAAGAUAGUUCACUGGACGGUAACUGACACUGAAGUGCGAAAGCCGGGGGAGCGAACAGGAUUAGAUACCCUGGUAGUCCCGGCCGUAAACGAUGAUUACUGGGUGUGGGCAGGAAGACUGUCUGUGCCGAAGCGAAUGCGAUAAGUAAUCCGCCUGGGGAGUACGGCCGCAAGGCUGAAACUCAAAGGAUUU